GUACAAAGUCCUCUUGAGUUUUGUAAUGGACUAAUUAUUUUUUAUGUACACGCUAUGACCAAACCCAAAAAAAUUCUUGAGAACUUUUUGAAACCUUUUUUCUCAAUCUCCAAUAAAGGGAAAAAUGAGGAGGACUUAGAGAAAAUUGCAGCACAAGAACAGAAGCAAUUCCCUUUUGAAGUUCUUGUUUCUGCUACCAAAGAUUUUCACCCAGAUAACAAGCUUGGUGAAGGUGGAUUUGGGCCUGUAUUCAAGGGGAAAUUAAGUGAUGGGAGGCAAAUAGCUGUAAAGAAGCUUUCACAUAGUUCAAGGCAAGGGAUGAAGGAAUUCAAGAAUGAAGCUAAGUUGUUGGCUCGUGUACAACACAGAAAUGUGGUGAAUUUGUUAGGGUACUGUGUACAUGGAGUAGAGAAGUUGCUUGUGUAUGAGUAUGUUGCUAAUGAGAGCCUUGACAAAAUCCUCUUCAAAUCUGCUAACAGAGAUGCACUCAGCUGGAAGCAACGGCAUGACAUAAUUGUUGGCAUUGCUAGAGGGUUGCUAUACCUUCAUGAAGGAUCACAUACUUGCAUUAUCCACCGUGACAUAAAAGCUAGCAACAUCCUACUUGAUGACAAAUGGGUGCCCAAGAUUGCUGAUUUCGGAAUGGCUAGACUCUAUCCUGAAGAUAAAACACAUGUUAACACCCGUGUAGCUGGUACUAAGUAUGAUUCUAUCAAACCCUAUAAACUGUGUUUAGUGACGACUAUGUAGAAAUUUCGUUGAAAAAUAUAUUGCCCAAGUACACUCGUUCGAUAUUGCUAACAAAUCUCUUUGAUAAUUUAACUUGGAAGCCAGUGGCUAUAUGGCGCCCGAGUACGUUAUGUAUGGACAUCUAUCAGUGAAGGCUGAUGUAUUCAGUUUCGGAGUUGUAAUUCUGGAGCUCAUAAGUGGCCAGAAGAAUUCAACCUUUAACAGAGAUCCUGAUUCUCGAAGCCUUCUUGAAUGGGCGUACAGGCUGUACAAGAAGGGUCGGAGCUGGGAGAUUAUGGACCCUGCACUGGCACAAUCGGCUAUCCCCGAUGAGAUAGCAAUGUACAUACAGAUUGGCUUAUUAUGCAUUCAAUCGGAUCCACCACUACGUCCAACCAUACAACAGGUUGUGGUGAUGCUAUCGAAGAAUCCUGGAUCUCUUGAUAGAGAACCAACUAGACCUGGAUAUCCCGGAUCAAGAAUUAGAUCUCACAGACCAGGUGGUGGUACGUCACACACAGGUGGAACCUCGGGUGCAUCCAAUCCUUCCACAUUCAGCUCAUCGUCUAGUAGCAACACUGUUACUGCAACUGCAAGUUCAUCCACACCUACAAGACGGAGAUCGGACCCUCAUGGUAAACGUCCUGUGAGAGAUUAGGCGCGGCGUUGUUGAAGAUAUUUUCUUAAUUCUUUUUGUGUAUACAUUCAAUUUUUGUAGCAUGUAAAUUGGUUACAAAUUGAGUAUCAAAGAGUAAUGAUGAAUCUUAGUGACAGUUAACAUGUAAAAGAAGUGUAUGUAGUUACUCUCAGGAAAUAAAACUACCUGGCAUAAUACAUAAAUGCGUCUUUUAAUUUGACUUUGUUUUAC
Molecule: unclassified non-coding RNA, 1597 nt
Filed under: Hevea brasiliensis (rubber tree)
Lineage: Eukaryota; Viridiplantae; Streptophyta; Magnoliopsida; Malpighiales; Euphorbiaceae
Source: RNAcentral